This 468-nucleotide ribosomal RNA is filed under the name uncultured bacterium. Its description in RNAcentral is "partial 16S ribosomal RNA". It matches the Rfam family "Bacterial small subunit ribosomal RNA", at positions 28 to 507 of the family's 1533-position model. The record is from RNAcentral.
GACGAACGCUGGCGGCGUGCUUAACACAUGUAAGUCGAACGGAAAGGCCCUGCUUUUGUGGGGUGCUCGAGUGGCGAACGGGUGAGUAACACGUGAGUAACCUGCCCUUGACUUUGGGAUAACUUCAGGAAACUGGGGCUAAUACCGGAUAGGAGCUCCUGCUGCAUGGUGGGGGUCGGAAAGUUUCGGCGGUUGGGGAUGGACUCGCGGCUUAUCAGCUUGUUGGUGGGGUAGUGGCUUACCAAGGCUUUGACGGGUAGCCGGCCUGAGAGGGUGACCGGCCACAUUGGGACUGAGAUACGGCCCAGACUCCUACGGGAGGCAGCAGUGGGGAAUAUUGCACAAUGGGCGGAAGCCUGAUGCAGCAACGCCGCGUGCGGGAUGACGGCCUUCGGGUUGUAAACCGCUUUCGCCUGUGACGAAGCGUGAGUGACGGUAAUGGGUAAAGAAGCACCGGCUAACUACGUG